Molecule: unclassified non-coding RNA, 3752 nt
Filed under: Neodiprion lecontei (redheaded pine sawfly)
Lineage: Eukaryota; Metazoa; Arthropoda; Insecta; Hymenoptera; Diprionidae
Description: long-chain fatty acid transport protein 4, transcript variant X3
Source: RNAcentral
CAGUUCUGUAUAGUCCGUACCGAGAACUUGUACGAGCAAGAGGCUGCGGCAGCAACAACAUCGCCAUACCCUUCUAGUUUGAAAGUUUUUUAUCGUUGAGGAUGACUAGCGUGAAAAUGUGAAACGAUGUGAUUGAUUCAGAUGUGCGAAUAACUAUUCUAUCAUUUUUAACGAAUUUUUUGUUAAUUGUCGAUGGUUUAUUUUGAUGCCAUCUCGCAUAUCGGUUCUCUUGCAAUCAAAGUGGAUGGGGAAUAGUGAAUGUCAUUCAAAUUCAGUCACUGCCAAUCAGAGUUGUAACUUAUACUCCUUGAGGAAUAAAAUGAAAGUUGCUGUAAUAAGUAUAUAGCAAUAACUUUGCAAAAUCAGUGGUGAAUUAAUGCACGUAUAUGCAAAUGUAUACGCAGUGAGUUGAAUUAUAUUUAAAACCUGUUUCAUCGUAAACCAUAAAUCAGCACAACAGCAUGUCGGAUUCAAUUUCGAAAAGUCCACCAACACACGGCACGAUGAACGGUACCGCACCGGCAAUUAUUCCAAAUUUGGUUCCAAACAAGGAUAAGGACGUGGAACGCGGCGAGAUCGAGGAUCCGUCGGGACGGGGAGCCGAGGCCAACGAAGGUGGCGGGAUAAUCCCCCCUCCAGGGGCGCCCGACUCACGUGUCCGCGAGUUGGGGGGCCGACGGAGCCCAGUUGUGCGUCUGCUGGGUCGCCUGGCGCUAGCCACGAUGAUAGCAGCGAUCCUGAUCAUGCUCUCGGCAGCGGUAUGGAUGUUCAUGGGGCCGAUGUUCCUGCUUCAGCUCUUCCUCGUCGCCGUUGUCGCCUACUUCGCGUCCGGAGGAAGGCUCAGGUGGUUCUACGUCGCCGUAAGAACACUGCCGAGGGAUAUCACGGCAGUUUUGAGAUACAUAACUUUACUGUGGUCAAUCCGAUCACACGAGAAGAAGAAUCGAUGCGUCGCAGAUAUCUUCGCGCAAUACGUGACGAAACAUCCGAACAAAACUUGCUUCAUUUACGAAGAUCAAGAAUGGACCUUCCAGCAGAUUGAGGAUUUUAGUAAUAAAGUAGCGACGGUGUUCAAGACGCAUGGAUAUCACAAAGGAGACGCCGUUGCUCUGUUUUUGGAAAAUCGGCCGGAGUUCGUUGGAAUUUGGCUAGGGUUGAGCAAACUCGGUGUUAUAGUACCGUUGAUAAAUACUAAUCUCCGAAAAGCAUCGCUUCUCCACAGCAUCAACGUUGCCAAUUGCCAAGCGAUAAUAUACGGCGCUGAUUUAGGCGACGCCGUUAAAGAUAUAUCUUCGUCUAUAAACGCGAAGACAGCAUUAUACAGAUUUUCGGAAACGACAAAUUCACCUUCUAAUGGACUGAAGGAAAAAGAUCUCACCGCUAUUCUCGUUGAUGCCCCAACCACACCGCCUGUAAUCAAAGACAAGGGCGGAUACAGUGAUAAACUCCUUUAUAUUUACACUAGCGGUACAACCGGCCUGCCAAAAGCUGCCGUGAUCACAAACUCCAGGUACUUAUUCAUCGCUAGCGGUAUCCACUAUGUCGCAGGUUUUCGAAACAGUGAUAGAUUUUACACUCCACUACCAUUGUACCACACGGCUGGCGGUAUCAUGUCGAUAGGUCAAGCUUUACUACACGGUUCAACGGUUGUGAUUAGGAAAAAGUUUUCGGCCAGCUCGUAUUUUACCGAUUGUGCUAAAUACCAGUGUACUAUAGCUCAAUAUAUUGGGGAAAUGUGUCGCUAUGUACUGGCAGUACCGCCAAAACCAGAAGACAAGCAACACAAUGUUCGAAUGAUUUUUGGUAAUGGGCUGAGGCCGCAAAUUUGGAGUGAUUUCGUUAAUCGUUUCAAAAUAGCAAAAGUUGCCGAAUUUUACGGAGCUACCGAAGGAAAUGCUAACAUUGUAAACAUCGACAACACCGUUGGAGCUAUCGGUUUCGUCUCAAGAAUCAUUCCAGCAGUGUAUCCGAUUUCUAUAAUUAAGGUAGAUGCAAAUGGAGAGCCAAUCAGAAAUUCUAAGGGACUUUGUAUGACCUGCGAGCCAAAUGAACCUGGCGUUUUCAUCGGUAAAAUCAUGCCGAAUAAUCCAACAAGAGCAUUCCUGGGUUACGUUGACUCUAAGGCAUCCAAAAGCAAAAUCGUUCAUGAUGUCUUCGCCAAGGGUGAUUCUGCCUUUAUUUCUGGUGACAUCUUGGUAGCCGAUGAGUUGGGAUACCUGUUCUUUAAAGAUCGCACCGGUGAUACAUACAGAUGGAAAGGUGAAAAUGUAUCGACAUCAGAAGUCGAGGCGAUUGUCAGCAACCUUGCUAAUUACAAGGAUUGCGUCGUUUACGGUGUUGAGAUUCAAGGAGCUGAAGGAAGGGCUGGAAUGGCAGCUAUUUACGACCCAGAUGACACACUAAACCUAGAGCAGCUAGUGUUGGGGAUGAAAGAGCAACUGCCAACAUAUGCUAGACCUCAAUUCAUCAGAGCUUUGAGAAAGAUUGAUAUGACUGGUACAUUCAAAAUAAAGAAGAAAGAUCUGCAGAACGAAGGUUACGAUCCAACUAAGAUUCAGGACAAAUUAUAUUACUUGGAUCCAAAGUCUGGCUACAACGUUUUAACACCUGAAGCGUUUGAACAGAUACAACAAGGCAAGAUUCGUUUGUAAAUAGAAAAACGUUGGCAUAAAUCAACUGUCUAGGAGCAGUAAGAAUGCUAUUUUAUUUGAACCGCGUGAGAAGCCGACGUGCAAUAUAAACACGGGUAAAAAUAAAAAAACAACUUUGUGUUGUAAAAGAUGAAAGGGAAAAAAGUGAUAAUGAUUUGAAGCCUCGGUGAUCUGAUUUAAGGCAGUCGACAAUUUUUUUUUUCACUGCCGGAAGUGUAGCAUAAUACCUAUACGGAUUUGUCACAUGUGUUUAAACGCGCAUAAUUUUUUCCUCAUAUUUAUUUAUUUUUUAUCCCCAUGUGUGUUGAUUUUACCUACAUACCUGAUUCAUUUUUUUCAAUUGGAUAAAGCUAUGAUAAUAAUAUAGCCUGAUUGAAUAAAUAAUUAAAUGUAAUAAUUGAUUAACUAAAACGGUGAAAUACUCUAUACGGCGGUAAACGUCAGGGUUGUGAUUUGUAACCGGUUAUUUUUUUACGGAUAUUACAUGUAACGCACAAUGAAGAAUUCCGAAUUGCAUUGUUGUUGACAUAUGAAUGAUUGAGGUAACUCAAAACGCAAUGUAUUGCUACGACUGACUUGAACGGUGUCAAUGUAAAUGAAAGAUUGAUGAAAAAAAAAUAUAUACAUAUAAGGAAAAAAAUGACAACAUUCAAUCUUAAUAAAGUGAAAUUGUAUAGAUUUACCGAAUAUAAAAGUAUCGAUGCAACAUCUACAGAAUUCUUGUAUUACUUGUUAAUACGGCUCUGGAUGACCCGGCUGCAUCGAUUUAGAACUUAACUAUACGCUCGCGCUUCAAUCAUACAAUAACAAAUUUCGUGUACACGAGGUUUGUAAAGACGGAAACUCGACCUUACAAAUAGAUCGUGUGUACCAUGCUCUGAAGUCAUAAUCUGUAUAGAGAUGAAUUUUGGUUUAUAUUAUAAUUCUAUAGCCCGAGAUAUAACGCAACUCUAGCUUACGACUAAAGAAUAAAGGAGACAUCACCGUUAUCAUCCCAACCAUUUCAUGAGGUGUAUGUUUUUAUAAUAUUGCCACUAAAAUUUAGCAAAGAUUGUUACUUGUUAUUUUUUUAGAAUAAAAAAAUGUUCAUUAUUUUCUAAA